UGGUCGUACAAGAAGCAGGAGGGCGACAAGGGUUCUUCACCAAACCCUAACUCUCACAAAAAUUGAUCAAUUGAAGGAUCAAAUCAAGUCCAAAACGAAAAUCGAGCAUAGAUUAAUGAUCCUCAUUGUAAGGAGAUCAUAAGUUUGACACCUAACGAGCUAGAUGGAAGCUUGUGGAUGAAGCGGGUCAAACGGAGCAAGUACGGAAAGAAAAGCGAGGCAUGGAUGCAAGGUGAAUAUCAAGAGUACCCGGAUGAGGAUCAAGCGCGAAAAGAACCGAACACAUGAAAAAGAAGCUUCCGCACGUUGCAUCGUUGUUAUUUCUAAAUGACGAAUCUAAUUACAUUCUGUUGUAUCAUUUUCACGUUGUAAAAGUUUAAAUAAACCCGUAUUUUCAUAAGUAUAUGUAGUCGUAAUUACUUAUUUCUUUUCGUAAUUUAUACGAAAAGCGCUAAAUAAUAGUACGGGUGUUACACCAUAAUACCUUUAAGAGGAAGA
RNAcentral lists this long non-coding RNA (498 nucleotides) under Helianthus annuus (common sunflower). RNAcentral describes it as "sRNA HanXRQr2_Chr06g0256851". The record is from RNAcentral. Lineage: Eukaryota; Viridiplantae; Streptophyta; Magnoliopsida; Asterales; Asteraceae.